RNAcentral lists this ribosomal RNA (415 nucleotides) under uncultured prokaryote. Its description in RNAcentral is "bacterial SSU rRNA". It matches the Rfam family "Bacterial small subunit ribosomal RNA", at positions 505 to 918 of the family's 1533-position model. The record is from RNAcentral.
GUGUCAGCCGCCGCGGUAAUACGGAGGAUGCAAGCGUUAUCCGGAAUCAUUGGGCGUAAAGCGUCCGCAGGUGGCACUUCAAGUCUGCUGUCAAAGGUCGGGGCUUAACUCCGAACAGGCAGUGGAAACUGAAGUGCUCGAGUGCGGUAGGGGCAGAGGGAAUUCCUGGUGUAGCGGUGAAAUGCGUAGAGAUCAGGAAGAACACCGGUGGCGAAAGCGCUCUGCUAGGCCGCAACUGACACUCAGGGACGAAAGCUAGGGGAGCGAAUGGGAUUAGAUACCCCAGUAGUCCUAGCUGUAAACGAUGGACACUAGGCGUUGGACGUAUCGACCCGUUCAGUGCCGUAGCUAACGCGUUAAGUGUCCCGCCUGGGGAGUACGCACGCAAGUGUGAAACUCAAAGGAAUUGACGGGG